GGAAACGAUAACGAUUGUCGUAGUGGUGAUAUCGCGCAUGGGCAGGAGGGAAUAGCCCUCCGGCAACCGCCGCCCAUGCGCCGAAAACAGGUCCCUGACGGGGCCUUUUUUAUGCCCCGUC
Molecule: small RNA, 121 nt
Filed under: Rhizobium esperanzae
Lineage: Bacteria; Pseudomonadati; Pseudomonadota; Alphaproteobacteria; Hyphomicrobiales; Rhizobiaceae
Description: sRNA Atu_C8
Rfam family: Rhizobiales sRNA Atu_C8
Source: RNAcentral